Molecule: long non-coding RNA, 590 nt
Filed under: Elaeis guineensis (African oil palm)
Lineage: Eukaryota; Viridiplantae; Streptophyta; Magnoliopsida; Arecales; Arecaceae
Description: long non-coding RNA (EGUI_LNC079224)
Source: RNAcentral
ACUAAAUCCUUAAACCAGCACCUCCUUAAUGAUUAAUAUGUUAGAAAAUCAGAUAGGUAGCAUGUACAGAUUUCAAAAACUUUUUGAUUAUAGCAAAAAAAUGAUCGAGUUAAACCCUUUAACCUCACAUGCAUAAGAUCAUAUCUAAUCCUACCCAAGCUCAGAAGAAAAGACACAUAUAUAAUAUAAAAUUAAAAGUAAGUGUGAGAUCGAAUCUCAAUACCUUAGCAUGGAUAGAAAUUUAUCGCAACCAAUGAUCACAGGUUCAUAAGUUCUCGAGCUACAUAUGUAUCCGAUCUCUACAAGUAUCCAUCGAGAUCAACCUCGAACUAAUCUUCUCGUAGUAGAUUCUUCUUUUUCAAGUAGAAUCUUAGCUUUGAGAACCUCGAUCAACUCCUUGAUCUAGAUUAUGGGAUCAACUCCAUGAUCUGCAGUCUUUUCUCUAUGUUUCUCACUGAAGAUAGACUGCUCCUCUACUCUUGGCAUGUGGAAGGUGGGACUCCCAACCCUUGGGCAUGGGAAAGAGAAGAAGAAGGAGAGGAGGCAUGGAGAAGGGAGAGGAAGAAUUUUUCUCUCACAAAAUUCAAUUA